CCGGCGUGCCUAAUACAUGCAAGUCGAACGAACUCUGGUAUUGAUUGGUGCUUGCAUCAUGAUUUACAUUUGAGUGAGUGGCGAACUGGUGAGUAACACGUGGGAAACCUGCCCAGAAGCGGGGGAUAACACCUGGAAACAGAUGCUAAUACCGCAUAACAACUUGGACCGCAUGGUCCGAGUUUGAAAGAUGGCUUCGGCUAUCACUUUUGGAUGGUCCCGCGGCGUAUUAGCUAGAUGGUGGGGUAACGGCUCACCAUGGCAAUGAUACGUAGCCGACCUGAGAGGGUAAUCGGCCACAUUGGGACUGAGACACGGCCCAAACUCCUACGGGAGGCAGCAGUAGGGAAUCUUCCACAAUGGACGAAAGUCUGAUGGAGCAACGCCGCGUGAGUGAAGAAGGGUUUCGGCUCGUAAAACUCUGUUGUUAAAGAAGAACAUAUCUGAGAGUAACUGUUCAGGUAUUGACGGUAUUUAACCAGAAAGCCACGGCUAACUACGUGCCAGCAGCCGCGGUAAUACGUAGGUGGCAAGCGUUGUCCGGAUUUAUUGGGCGUAAAGCGAGCGCAGGCGGUUUUUUAAGUCUGAUGUGAAAGCCUUCGGCUCAACCGAAGAAGUGCAUCGGAAACUGGGAAACUUGAGUGCAGAAGAGGACAGUGGAACUCCAUGUGUAGCGGUGAAAUGCGUAGAUAUAUGGAAGAACACCAGUGGCGAAGGCGGCUGUCUGGUCUGUAACUGACGCUGAGGCUCGAAAGUAUGGGUAGCAAACAGGAUUAGAUACCCUGGUAGUCCAUACCGUAAACGAUGAAUGCUAAGUGUUGGAGGGUUUCCGCCCUUCAGUGCUGCAGCUAACGCAUUAAGCAUUCCGCCUGGGGAGUACGGCCGCAAGGCUGAAACUCAAAGGAAUUGACGGGGGCCCGCACAAGCGGUGGAGCAUGUGGUUUAAUUCGAAGCUACGCGAAGAACCUUACCAGGUCUUGACAUACUAUGCAAAUCUAAGAGAUUAGACGUUCCCUUCGGGGACAUGGAUACAGGUGGUGCAUGGUUGUCGUCAGCUCGUGUCGUGAGAUGUUGGGUAAAGUCCCGCAACGAGCGCAACCCUUAUUAUCAGUUGCCAGCAUUAAGUUGGGCACUCUGGUGAGACUGCCGGUGACAAACCGGAGGAAGGUGGGGAUGACGUCAAAUCAUCAUGCCCCUUAUGACCUGGGCUACACACGUGCUACAAUGGAUGGUACAACGAGUUGCGAACUCGCGAGAGUAAGCUAAUCUCUUAAAGCCAUUCUCAGUUCGGAUUGUAGGCUGCAACUCGCCUACAUGAAGUCGGAAUCGCUAGUAAUCGCGGAUCAGCAUGCCGCGGUGAAUACGUUCCCGGGCCUUGUACACACCGCCCGUCACACCAUGAGAGUUUGUAACACCCAAAGUCGGUGGGGUAACCUUUUAGGAACCAGCCGCCUAAGGUGGACAGAAU
Molecule: ribosomal RNA, 1468 nt
Filed under: Lactiplantibacillus plantarum
Lineage: Bacteria; Bacillati; Bacillota; Bacilli; Lactobacillales; Lactobacillaceae
Description: bacterial SSU rRNA
Rfam family: Bacterial small subunit ribosomal RNA
Source: RNAcentral